Chlorocebus sabaeus (green monkey) is the source of this 8266-nucleotide non-coding RNA. Lineage: Eukaryota; Metazoa; Chordata; Mammalia; Primates; Cercopithecidae. The record is from RefSeq and is a predicted model, not a curated record.
GUGAGCCGAGCUCGCGCCACUGCACUCCAGCCUGGUUGACAGAGCAAGACUCCAUCUCAAAAAAUAAUAAUAAUAAAAUAAAAAAAAUAAAUCGUACGUCGGGUGUCAACCAUUAUCUGAUUUAGACAAUAUUUAGAUGAGACUUUAGACUUUAAAGUAAGUGCUAGAACAAGUUAAGACUUUGGGGGCUUUUGUGAUAAAUGAAUGCAUUUUUUUGUCCUUUGUGAGAAGGACAUGAAUUUUGGGGAGCCAAAAUUGGGGGUGGAAUGCUAUCGGUUCAAUAUAUGUGGCCUUCCAAAAUUCAUGUGUUGGAACCUAAUGCCCAACGUGACAGUGUUAAGAAGUGAGGCCUUUUCCGAAGUGAUGAAGGCAUUAGGGCUUGUUCUUAUGAAUGGAUUGCUGCUCUUAUAAAAGAGGUUGAAGGGAGUGCCUGGGGUGCAUUUUGUCCUCCUGGCUUCUGCUGUGUAAGGACCCAGCAAUAAGGCAGAGAGUUCUUGGAAGCAACACACGAGCCUCACCAGACACUGGAUCUGCCAGUUCCUUCAUCUUGGACUUCUCAGCCUCCAGAAAUGUGAGAAAUAAGUUUCUGGGUUUAUAUAAAUUCCGCAGUCUAAGGUGCUUUGUUGGAACGAUACAGAUGAACAGAAACACUGAGCACAGGUGAGGGGCUCUGGCAGUGAAUGUGUGCUUGUCCAGAUGGUGGCUUUGUUCUCAACAGCCUCAGGCAUCUAGAACAUGCCAAACCUGUCCCUCCUCCAGGACAACUGAUCCAGAGCCAGUCCUCCAGGCAGCCCCGGAAAGUCCAGAACAUCGGACACUUGCUGCAGCUCUGUCCCACGCCAGGGAGAACUCAGGAUUUGGGGAUUCCCCCUCUUGUUCUGUGCUGGGCUGCAGAAAGUAUGACUGUAAUUCCAGUGGCUACAGGGGUGGCCUAUGACCCAGAUGUGCUGACCGUGUGUCCCAUCCCCACGUCUGCAGGAGCUGCUCAUCUCUAGGUGAGAGUUGACGUGUGUGUACUCACAGUGGAAGUUUCUCUUUUCCUUUUAAACUGUGAACUCUAAAAGUAGUCACUCGUACUUUUUAUUUCAUUGAUUUUGUAGUUUUUUUAUUUCAUUGAUUUUGUAGAAUCCCUUCAGUUUACCUUUUCAAGCUAUGUAAUGGUGUAGAGAUGGGUUCACAUGUCACAGAUUCACAGAACAAACCUUGGUAAUAUAAACUGAUAGGGCCUGCAAGUCCCUUCAGUAUGCUGCUUGAUUCAAGACUGCCCAGUUCGUUCUUCCAGGUACAUAUGAAUAGCACAGGAAUAAAAUAUUGUUUAAUGCAGAACACAGAGAGAAACUGAGAAAUAAUUUAGUAGAAUAUGUACACUAAACCACCAUGACACUCAAUUUAUCUAUAGAACAACCUGCACAUGUACACCAAUCUCACUUCCUGAAACAAGUGAAUUAUGAGUCAUUAUUCUACAGCUGGAUGAAAAGUAAAGAUCUGUCUCCUCCCUACUUAGAGCUAAGGGCAUAGAUCAAGUCAAUGCAAGUAUUCAGUUAAAAAGAAAAUGACUGCAGAUCUGUUUCUAUUUAAUACUUGGAGAAUUGUAGGUUCUAAGUACUCUGAAACAGCCACUAAUUUCCUUCCCUUGGCUUAUCUAUUCCCUUGGAUAUAGAUAAGACGUUUCAUAUAUUUGAAUUUAAUACGUCUGUGUGUGUGUAUGUGUGUGUGUGUGUGUGUCUGUCUUGUGGAGCUUUAAUAUUAUUCUGGCAUUUUAGAAUUGAUAAAUUUCUAGAAUUUACUCUCCAGAUCUUAUUUAGCACACGUGGUUGGUACUCUGUCUUAUAGAAGAAGAAUAUUAUUAUUUCUUGUUCACUGAAGAAUGAUAGCUAAAUUGCAAACAUUUCUGACAAGAGGUGAUGUUUCACUUUUACUUCCAUUCAGCUAUGAACUAGUUGUCAUUUCCGAGAACCUGAACCCACUGUAAAGUCUGUCUUCUGAACUUUCAAAGACCCCUUAGAAAUUUGAGGUUUAUGAUCUGGUGUGUGUUAUAUUUGGUUUAGUUUUACUGUGAAUAUCUUCAGUUCUUUUUCCUCUACGUGCUUUCCCCAGGAAGUCACAUUACCUCUUUUGACUUUAGUUUUCUAUUGGGAAGAUUCCAGAUUACUUUGAAGCAGUUUGUCUAAUUCCUCACUGCUUUUGCCCGCUAUUCAUCUGCCUCCUCCAUGACUGACUUCUCAAGCCCUGUUAGAUCUCAAUAGUCCCCUCCCCUAGAAGGAUUUUGGUUUCCUCCACAUGCCAUACAAUAACUUUCAGAAUUAUCCAGGUGUUAAUAUUUUCUUUUAUCCCUGAAAGUACAGUUUGCUCAAAUUGACAGAGCAGCAACCACACAACCACAGUUCCUGACAAAGAGUCACAGCAGGAAGUAUAGGGACUGCAACAGAUCACUCAAUGAAAUUUGAAGGAAUUUUUGGAUCUUUUUGCCCACAAAUAUUUUAAAAGAAGUUAUGGGAAUUAAGGAACAAUGAAGAGAUAAAUGAUUGAGCUGGAAAAAAGAAUAAAAUAUACCACUAGAAGUUCAUGUUUAUCCCCUCUUCUGAAAUGUUUCCAAAUCUUAAAUGGGCAACAGUUUUGCUCUCAUAUCUGCUGACCCUAUGAAAAUUAUGGCAUAAUUGAAUAUGCCUGAUAAUGCAUAGAUCCUAGGAUACUGUCAAUAAUGGUUCCUUCUUCACUUUCAACCCCACUUCCUCUUCAAAGGUCUCAGAUUAAUUAGACUCAGAAAAUGGAUUCAACCUUAUCCUGUGGAAGUAAAAGGAGCCUCAGUGCCCAAUUACGUAAUCAAAUAUAGGAUGCUAUUAAUACACUUGGAGUUCUCCAAAAUAAAGAUAAAAUCUCAUCUACAUAACCCGCAUGGAAGUGGUGUCGGCUGUUAUCUUUCACCUACUGAUAAUACAAGAGAGAAGAGUGACAUUGUAUCUAAUACCAAAUGUACUUAAAUAAUGAGGCCAGAUCAUCUAAAUCCAGCUUCUCCUCAAUCAAUCCACCAAACAAAGACGGAUGAAUAAGAGAGCUAUUUUUACCAGACUCCAGUCCAGGGUGCCUGAGACCACUUGGCAGAGACAGCAUUCAUUGUAUGCCAUGUGCAUCAUAGGGGAGCCCAUGAUCCUUUGUCGUCUGCAGGGAAUCACACCCUUCCAGCUAUGGUACAUUACUACAAAUCCAGUUGAGAUACUUUCAGGAGGGAUCAAGAGCGUGGUGCAUUGUGCGAGGACACCAUGGCCUGAACAAGAGGAUUUUUGAUGUUUGAGAAGAGAAGAGGUGGUGUUUGGCUAAAGAAAUUGUUCAGGAAAGAAAUGAUCAGCAUUUAUAUAGCCAUAAUGAUGUCAACACUGAUAAUAAAUAUUUUAAAAAUCACAAUUAACAUGUAUUGGGAAGAUGGGGGGAGGAGGAAGUGAAUGUAGAUGUGUGUAAAAGGAAACACCUCAUUUAUUGUGAAUUAUUAAAUAUUUUGUGAACAAAGUAAAACCUUCCUCAAGAGUAUAAGAUGAGGGUCAAACAGGUUUAGGGGAAAAUGCCUUUUUUAUUUCAAAACAAUCAGGAAAUCAGCAUUUUGUCUCGCUCUCAGCUUGCAUAAAUUUUUAUUUGGUUUGUGAAAGAGAAAUAAUAUACUGAAGGAAGGCAAGCAAUAAUGUGUAAAACAGAUAAUUCCAGAAGUAACAGAAUGAGCAUAUUACUUAGAAACGUAGCAUAAGAAAAGCAGCCAAAAGAUCUGAGAGUGGUUGUUUCUAAGGAGCAGCAAUGCAAGGCAGAGAGGCGCAGAGUGGAGUGAGGUUCUGAAAUGCCAUUCUGGCUGCGUUGUUCUAGGAGGUCCUAGGAAUGAGUUUCAGUACAAUCGUGGACGAAAAGCCUCUCAGCUCAUACACAUACAGAAUGCUUCACAGCCCUCGGUCAAGACCACAGGCACCACAAAGUUAGGCUUUUUGAUGCUUGCAACAGCAAUGGAGCAUGCGUGCACGUGCGCGCACACACACACACACACAUACUCGGCAAAGGGUGGGGUAGCACCUGGCCUGGUUGUGAGGAUUUCACUUGCGUUAGGAGAGAGUGGGGUGCUGCAGCGGUGAGGAGUUUGUUCUGGAUCGGGUGCUGUGUGAGAGGAGGUAGGGAAAUAGAGUGAGGCUAAAGCUGCAGCUUGAACAGAAGCAGCUGUCACUCAGGUUACCUGGGAGAGGGGGUGCUUGGUGAUGGCUGUAUCACAAGGACUUUGAAUUUGUCUGUGCCCACAAAGGAUUACACUGUGGUCUUGUAUUUCCCCAUGCCAGAUUGCAAUCAGCAAUUUCCCCAAGGAGCCCUGGCUUGUUUAGUAGGAGAUGGCAUCUACCAACUAAGUUAUGGGAAGUAGGUAGGUUUGAGUAUUGCUACUGGGCUAUGCUACUUCUAGACCCUUUUAGUGGGCAGAGCCAGAACUAGACAUACAUUUUUAAAAUUCAUAUGUUUCCACAGAUAACUUCAGUUUCAGUCUAGUAACUCAGAGUUCUUCUCCCUUCCCCAUUCCAUAUUUGUAUGUCUCUUACCCAUAGUGAGAACCCUGGUUCCCUAUAACACCAGAGUCAAAUGUAUCUACUCAUUUCCUCUGUCAUAUGCAACUUGAACAAAAUGCUUUCAGAAUUACUACAUGAGUACUACUACCAGGGACAAGCAGAUACAACUUUCGUUCUGUGAUGGUUAAUACUGAGUGUCAACUUGAUUGGAUUGAAGGAUGCAAAGUAGUAAUCCUGGGUGUGUCUGUGAGUGUGUUUCCAAAGGAGAUCAACAUUUGAGUCAGUGGCUGGGAAGGCAGACCCACCCUGAAUCUGGUGGGCACAAUCUAUUCAGCUUCCAGUGACUAUAAAGCAGGCAGAAAAACGUGAAAAGGCGAGACUGGUCUAGCCUCCCAUCCUACAUCUUUCUCCCUUGCUGUAUUAUGUGGAUGUACCGUAGUUUAUCCAACCAGUUUUCAACCCAGGGAUGGGUGUUAAAUCAUUCGUAAUAUUUUGAGAUUAUAAAUAAUGCCACAAUGUUUUUUUAAAAACCCGUUUCUGUGUUGUUUUGUAUUUGUGGAGGUGUGUAUUCAGAGCAAACUCCUGGAAGUGGAGUUGCUGGGUCAAAGCGUAAAUGCACAAGUAGUUUGUUAGCUCUUUCCAAAUGUUUUGAUUGGGGCGUUGCCGUGUACUUCUGCCCGGGGAGUCUAUGAGAGGCCUUUCUCCCAGUAGCAACUCUAGGAGAUGAUUUCAGCUUACCUGAGUUCACCUGCAGCUGCAAUAGACAGUUCCCCCGUCAAGCACCCGAACUGCUCUUCUUAUCCUGAGGGGCAGGCGGAAGCGAACUAAGCCUACGUGGAAGGCCUGUUUCCAUGCAAAGCACAGAGUUUGGAAGAGAACAGUUUGAGGAACCAAGUGAAAUUCUCUGUUCUGAAUGUGACUGGAGUGUAUAGUCUCUGCAGCUCAUAAAAAUCCAUUGUGGACAACUUGUGAAGGGCAUCCUAUGCCAUUUACAAGACGCAAACUCAAAUGGGAGAUUCUGCUGCUAUGUGGGACGUGUGUUCUGAAUCACUGGUCUGAAUGGAAUGCUUUGAAUUAUAUGCGUUGUUAUCUCUCUGAAACUGACUUCAGCAAUUACUGUAUCUGCCUAAAAAUCAAGCACAUCAACAUACUUUUAAUUCUUACUUGCAUUCAGGACCCAUUCUGUUCAAUGAACAUUUACUGAAGUAUCUGCAUUUUCAUGGAUUGUGCCACCAUAGUAGGUUAUAUAAGAUUUGACUGCUGCACUUAUUAAUCCAGACAAUACAUAAUUAUUCAUUUUUUUAUUUAAAAGUUCUUGUCUGAUUGUAAAAAUAAUAUAUUUUCAUAUUAAAUUUGUAAAAUAAACAUAAAUUCAUGAAUAAAUAAUAUAAAGAUUUCUUUUAAUGUGCCAACCCAGAUACAGCCACCAUUUAUAUCUUGGUAUCAUUUUUAUUUAUUUUAUCCCUCAUUAAAGUAGUUCUCUAGUGGUAGGAAAAUGUCAGAUUCUUUUAUUUUAAAUUUCCCCUUUAUCAAAUAAAACAUGCUUAUUAUAGAGAAAAAGGAAAUCUAUCACUCCUGCUCAUCCACCUGAAGAUAAUUUAGUGUAUUUCUUCCUAGUCUUUUAUUUCCAUGCAUAUAUUUAAACUUUGUAUUUUUAACAGUUUGUUAAUAUUAUUUUUGUAAUUACAGAAUAUUUCAUCAAGUGUAUACAUGAUAAGCACGGAAUGAAUUAGUAAAUAGCAGUCUUGCAAUAUAAACUUUAAAUCCAGACAAAGUGUUAGAAACAAAUCUUGUAACACAUUUAUGUCAUUGGUUGUGCAUAGUAAAUAUUGUCAACAAAAUAUCCCUAGCGUAAGGGAUGGUGUUAUUAAUAUAAGAUAUUUCUUUCAACCUGAAAUAAUUGAAAGAAUCAGAAUCUAGUUUUAAAGAGUUGAUUUAAAAGAAAGCUGGGAAUGACCAUCUGGGAAUCAAAAAUUCUGGAGAAAUGGAGUCGGUACUCCAGAGAUAAAACUGUCUUACUUAUAUGGGAAGAAAAAGAAACUUAACAGGAUUACAACAUUUUCUAGUCAAGGUUGGUUUUCGAGUUACGACAAUUUAAUCAAUUAUAGUUCAUUUUCUUUUCUGUGCAGCUUUUCAUUUUCUUUCUAAUUUAAAAGCGUAUAUUUAACAUUCCAUCUUAAACAGUGUGAUAGCCAUGUAGUUUCUGUGUGAGAGAGGUAAGAAGGAAGUUAAUCUAUAAUGAAGAUCAACAGGAAGAGGUGAGGGUCUUCCCUGAUACCCUUUAGCCCUUUACAGCAUUUUACAAAACAAUGUAGGUAAGAAAGAAGGCUAAUCUAUCCUUUAUCAUCAGAGGAACAAAAGUUAGGGCUGCCUAGGGCACAGCUGCUUGCCACAAGACUCAGGCCUCGUGAUCACAUUUCUUUAAGGCUCAAAAUAGUUUAAAGUUCCAACAGCUUAGAUUUUUAAUUAUUUUUACGUGUUCAAUUGGGAGUAGAAAAACUGCAUGAGAAAAACAAUAGAAUGUCAGCACAGUAGGAGAAGAAAGAAUUCUUGGAAUAGAAGUACGUGAGGGAAUUCACACAUACAAACCCUUUCUGUAAUGGGGUGAAUAAUUAGUUUUACAUUUGCAUUUCCCUGAAAAUUUUCACACACAAGAAUAAACCCAUGACUGUGCUGUGCUUUACCUCAAGGAGCAAAAUUGGCAUGAAUAUUUGGUUAUAUACUUUUUAAAUUUGGAUCAAGAAGCAGGAAUUGUUCAGCAUUUAAAGCACAUAACUUUGCCAAACACGUAGUAAAUCUUUAGGGUGACUGAGCAAGAUUAAGUUCAACAUGAAAUUUUGGGUAAUAAGGAAGAAAAUCAAAGCUCCACUGCUGCUUUAUAAGGUUAUGUGUCACCUUCUUUUACUUCUUGUAGUCAAGUACCUAACCUUCUGGAUGCAGCCCAGACAAUUCCUCAACUUUCCUAAAAGUUGUAGAGAAGAAAGAACUGCAAUGUUUAGUAACUCCUAUGGUGCUCUGUAUCUGUAUUACAAUCUGUUUGAGGUGGGAGAAAGCAGGCAGUGCUGAAACUGUAAUGCUCAAAAGCUCAAAUUAAAUACCCUUCCUGGUCAUGUUUAAAAGGUGAAUGAGUCCCCAGUUCCAAUUCUUGGCAGGAGCUGCCUGGCACUGGAUCUGGUCUGAGCACCAAAGAAUCAUAAAAUUUAUGAUAUGUUAUUGCCUUCUCUUUUUUUAAUUGAAAAUUUUAUUGAGAUAAUUGUAGAUUCACAUGCAACUAUAAGAAAUAACACAGAGAGAUUCCACUUGCCCUUUAUGCAGUUUCUCCCGGUGGUAACAUCUUAUAAAAUGUAGUACAAUAUUGCAACCAGGAUAUUGACAUUGAUACAGCCCAUCUACUUUAUUCAGGUUUUCCCAGUUUCACUUGUACUCAUUUGUCUGUGUUUGGGCACUCAGCUGUAUUGUAUUAGGUUGUGUAAGAUGUGUAAGUAUUAUGAAUUGAUAAUAAUUGCAUUAAUUAUAUUCUGUAUAAUUUUAUAAGUUGUGUAGGUUUUUGUAUGCAUUACAGUUUUUUCCUAAAAGUUUUAUUUUUUAAAUUUUAUACCGAAGUCUGUGAUACAUUUUGAUUCAAUUUUUGUCUAAUGUGUGAGGAUUAGGUCAAGGUUUAGUUUUUUCCCCUAUAGAUGUCCAUUUGUUCCACUGAAUUGCUUCAUCUUCAAAAACUCCUUUAAAAAAUCUGUUGGGCA